UAGGGAAUCUUCGGCAAUGGGGGGAACCCUGACCGAGCAACGCCGCGUGAGUGAAGAAGGUUUUCGGAUCGUAAAGCUCUGUUGUUAAGGAAGAACGAGUGUGAGAAUGGAAAGUUCAUACUGUGACGGUACUUAACCAGAAAGGGACGGCUAACUACGUGCCAGCAGCCGCGGUAAUACGUAGGUCCCGAGCGUUGUCCGGAUUUAUUGGGCGUAAAGCGAGCGCAGGCGGUUAGAUAAGUCUGAAGUUAAAGGCAGUGGCUCAACCAUUGUAGGCUUUGGAAACUGGUUGACUUGAGUGCAGAAGAGGAGAGUGGAAUUCCAUGUGUAGCGGUGAAAUGCGUAGAUAUAUGGAGGAACACCAGUGGCGAAGGCGACUCUCUGGUCUGUAACUGACGCUGAGGCUCGAAAGCGUGGGGAGCGAACAGG
RNAcentral lists this ribosomal RNA (429 nucleotides) under Bacteroidota bacterium. RNAcentral's name for it is "Bacteroidetes bacterium partial 16S ribosomal RNA". It matches the Rfam family "Bacterial small subunit ribosomal RNA", at positions 355 to 776 of the family's 1533-position model. The record is from RNAcentral. Lineage: Bacteria; Pseudomonadati; Bacteroidota.